UUUGUCAUGGUUUUUCUCAUUUCUUACUUCAAAGGGAAAUGAUGAUCAAGUUUUCCUAAUUAACUAGCAAACUAGGAGAAAAAUGAAUUUGGGGAAGUGGAAGUGAUGGAAGAGGAGGAGGAAAUGUUAAUUCAUUCAUUCGUCAUUGCCAAUCUUAUCAUUAGCUUACUGCCUCAAUGAAGAAGAUGAGGCUGAGGUUGAAAACCUACACACUGCUCGUGAGUUUUUCUCUUAAACUUCAUAUUAUAUCAUUUAAUUAAAGUUUGUUCAUCUUUCUAUUGAUGCAUAAAUUUGGUUCAACAAAAGAUGAUAUUUUUGAGAUCGAGGUCUGAUAAUUCUUCCUGACUAAAUCAAUGUAACUAACCAAGUCGUCCUCUAAAACCUGCAAAACAAAAAAAGCUAACGAUAGGUGACACGAUGUGGUGCCGGUCAAGGACCCUCUGAUGCUUAAGUCAGUCGAUUGUUUGAGAGUAAAUUGCACAAUAGUUUCUGAUGCUUAGAAUUGCAUACCUUUGAUGAUGGGUCUUUUCAGCCUUUUUAUAUCAUCCCAAACCACCUAGUCCUUCUCGGAGUAGAACUCCAUAACAACCUAGCCCUCCUUGAACUAGGAAUCCAUAACAACCUAGUCCUCCUUGGACUAUGACUCCAUUUAGAUAGGCGUAUUGGUGAUCUCG
RNAcentral lists this long non-coding RNA (674 nucleotides) under Prunus persica (peach). RNAcentral describes it as "long non-coding RNA (PPER_LNC000122)". Lineage: Eukaryota; Viridiplantae; Streptophyta; Magnoliopsida; Rosales; Rosaceae. The record is from RNAcentral.